Molecule: transfer RNA, 76 nt
Filed under: Candidatus Saccharimonadota bacterium
Lineage: Bacteria; Candidatus Saccharimonadota
Description: tRNA-Ala
Rfam family: tRNA
About the family: Transfer RNA (tRNA) molecules are approximately 80 nucleotides in length. Their secondary structure includes four short double-helical elements and three loops (D, anti-codon, and T loops).
Source: RNAcentral
GGGGUAUUAGCUCAUUUGGUAGAGCGCUUCCAUGGCAUGGAAGAGGUGAGGAGUUCGAAUCUCCUAUACUCCACCA